AAAAAAAAUAUAUAUAUAUAUUUUAUUAUGAUUUAAUUUCUGUCCAAUUAUAAACACACAUAUACACAUAGUUUCUCAGAGAAACUAUUCUCAAUCUCUCUCUUAUCUCUCUCCUACUUUAUUAUUAUUUUAUAUUUUUUAGUUAAUGAGAAAUUAUGUUAAAGACUACUGAUGGAGAUGCUCUAACUUUGGCUUUCUACAUUUAGAAAAGUUGAGACCAAAUCAAAAGAAAUU
RNAcentral lists this small RNA (234 nucleotides) under Arabidopsis thaliana (thale cress). RNAcentral describes it as "ATSL303210". Lineage: Eukaryota; Viridiplantae; Streptophyta; Magnoliopsida; Brassicales; Brassicaceae. The record is from RNAcentral.